AUUGAACGCUGGCGGCAUGCCUUACACAUGCAAGUCGAACGGUAACGGGCCUUCGGGUGCCGACGAGUGGCGAACGGGUGAGUAAUACAUCGGAACGUGCCCGAUCGUGGGGGAUAACGAGGCGAAAGCUUUGCUAAUACCGCAUACGAUCUACGGAUGAAAGCAGGGGACCGCAAGGCCUUGCGCGGACGGAGCGGCCGAUGGCAGAUUGGGUAGUUGGUGGGAUAAAAGCUUACCAAGCCGACGAUCUGUAGCUGGUCUGAGAGGAUGAUCAGCCACACUGGGACUGAGACACGGCCCAGACUCCUACGGGAGGCAGCAGUGGGGAAUUUUGGACAAUGGGCGCAAGCCUGAUCCAGCCAUGCCGCGUGCAGGAUGAAGGCUUUCGGGUUGUAAACUGCUUUUGUACGGAACGAAAAGCCUUCUUUUAAUACAGGAGGGUCAUGACGGUACCGUAAGAAUAAGCACCGGCUAACUACGUG
Molecule: ribosomal RNA, 482 nt
Filed under: uncultured bacterium
Lineage: Bacteria
Description: partial 16S ribosomal RNA
Rfam family: Bacterial small subunit ribosomal RNA
Source: RNAcentral